RNAcentral lists this long non-coding RNA (2008 nucleotides) under Coffea arabica (coffee). RNAcentral describes it as "long non-coding RNA (CARA_LNC005127)". The record is from RNAcentral. Lineage: Eukaryota; Viridiplantae; Streptophyta; Magnoliopsida; Gentianales; Rubiaceae.
UGCAUUGUUUAUCUCUUCCCCGCCGCUUCGUCAUGUUUGUAUGCAUCUUCUUGAUGCGUAAAUACCAGAAGAGGCAAAACGGAGAGACGGAAAUUUCAGGGAGAAUCAAGGGACCAGGAUUGAUUGACUUCAAGUAAUUUAAGGUAAAUAAAUCAUAUACUUGAGUUAUAUAAAGCUGAAUUGGAUUGAAUUGUAUAAACUUAUAGAGAAAAGUGAUGAGUUAGACAAUUACUAGUUGAGGAAAUAAAGUUGGACAGCUAUUAAUUAACUUGAUUCGAAUAAAUUCUUGUGUUUUGUUUGUUAUAUUGACUUGUAACUGAGCAUCUGUAAUGGGUAUACACAAGAAACUGGAAGAAUUUUAGCUUUAAUCACCAAGAACACCAUGUGCUGCAGGUAACUUUACGGCCAACAGUCAGCCUGAGCAGUUUUGAAAAAUCAACUAUAACUUAGUAUAGAAAAGUCAAAAUUGAGUGCUGACAAUAGCAUUUGAAACUAGAUUAAAAAAUCUUUCCAAAGAUACAAUAUUCUAGCUCUAGUUCAUUGUCUAUUAAUACUGGAAAAUUUGCAAAUUUGGCAUGAAAUCAUGACCUGCACAGCUAGGGACUGAAAAAUUGCAGUGACUUGCAGCUUAAUUUAGACUAGCUUAUGAUCCAAAUUUCUAAAAUGUUCUUCUAAUGAUCAUUAGUGCUUCAAGUCUAGUUUCUAACAGCACAAUUUUUGUGAUUUUUGACAUAUAUAACCCAAGUUGCAAAUUUUUAAAGGAGCAUCGUUAGUGAUGAUUUAACAAGUGACAGCACAGUAUUGACAUUAGAUUUCGUUUCCUCCCAUAUCAAUUGAGAUGAAUUAUGUUAUUAACUAUUUUGAGGAGUUUUAAGCCGAUAGUUAAUGUUCUAAUUUGCUAUUUUAGGGGAAGAUUAAGGGAGGAUCGGAGUGACUUUUGACCGGACCUUGAAUUAUCCUAGAAGUUGGUAAUUGGCACCUUCCUAUCUCUAUGGUUUUUGAAAUGUAUUCUAAAAAGGUUUUAUUUGCUAAUUGUUAUGCAAAAAAUGUAUUUUGUUAUAUUAAAUUGGAUUGAACAUAUGUAAUUUUUUUAGGACUAUGUACUUAUGAAUGAUUGUACUAUGUGUUUAAAAGUGAUUGUCAUUUGAUGUUUUAGACAUAUUGGACUUAUUAAAACAAGUAAAUGAUAGGAAAAGGCUUUAGGCUAUGUAAAUGCUGGUAUGGUCUUGCCACGGGAUGUAAUAGUGGGUAACGGUCCAAUCAUGGGUAUAAAGUGACACAUAGUAUGAUAUCAGGAGUUACAUUUUAAAUGGAAUAUGGCCCUAUCACGGGUAAAAAUAGUGAGUAAAGGCCCUAUUACGGGUAUAAAGCGACCAUAACAUGUUUUUUAAUUGAAGGCAAAGUGAGAAUAAGAAAAGAUCACACGGAUCAAAAUUAAAGAAUUACAAAAUAUGAAUUUGUACAUAAGUAUGCAUUACGUAUAUGUGAAAUGUCAAUUGUGAUUGAAUUACGUGAAAUGAUUUUAUUAAAUGUUAUAUUUUUUAUUAAUAUAUUCGAUCCAGUACAGAUAUGAAUCGACUUCUUAUUGAACAAGCCGACGCUCACCCCCACUUAAUUGGCUCUCAUGCAAAUGAGAAUCCGGUUUAGGAUGAGUUGAAGACUAGCUUUGAUCAAGUUAUAUUCUAGAGUUAAAUUUUGCUAAAUUGUAGCCUAUAUGACUUUUAUACCCUAGUAAUGUAUAUAUGUUGAAAGUUUAGUGUAAAGUAUCAUAUGAGUGAUUUUCUAUGUUUGGAACAUUUUUUAAGCACAUUCAAAGGAAUAUGUAAAUGUUGGUUUAUAGUUAUAAAUUCGAUAGACGGCUUUAUAUUCUCUUGGAAGGGUAUACUAGUGCCACACUUCAAAUUAUAAGUUAAAUAACUUUUUUUUAAAUAUGGUUAUCGGAUUUGGGACGUGACAAGGUGGCUUGGGGUUCAACCGUUACAUACAUGGAGCUACAACUGUUACUUAU